Long non-coding RNA from Heterocephalus glaber (naked mole-rat), 444 nucleotides. RefSeq lists it as uncharacterized. The record is from RefSeq and is a predicted model, not a curated record. NCBI's taxonomy places the organism in Eukaryota, Metazoa, Chordata, Mammalia, Rodentia, Bathyergidae.
CUCACUGCUGGCUGCUUUCUACCUGCCGUGCUGUGGACCAUUUCUCCUCUGCCAUGUCCUUCUGCCAAGUUGCCCUGCCUUGCAACCAGUCUUGGACUAAACCUGCUACAAACUGGAUUGAACUCAGGACCUUGCACUUGCAAGGCAGGCACGGUACCACUGAGCUAAAUCCCCAGGCCUUCUGAAACUCUCUUAAAAGAUAGUUGACCUCUAUGCAUUCUACACUGGCCUUCGCCCUUUUUCUCCUUCAAUGUGUUGUCACGCAGAGCUCAAGUACUUUUCCCGCACUAUGCAGUUACACCUACAGAUGUUGUGCUUGCAAAAUGUAAAGAACCAAGGUCCCUCCUGAUCACUAUUCAUCAGCCACCAUAUCAGCCCUCUACUACCUGUAUCUGGAUUUCUUUUAUGUCAAAGAGAAAUAAAUCUCUGUCUUGUUUAAGUGCU